Long non-coding RNA from Saccostrea echinata, 469 nucleotides. RefSeq lists it as uncharacterized. NCBI's taxonomy places the organism in Eukaryota, Metazoa, Mollusca, Bivalvia, Ostreida, Ostreidae. The record is from RefSeq and is a predicted model, not a curated record. The transcript is spliced from 3 exons.
GAAAGGAAAAUCGGUGUACUCAAGUUAUACAAUGCACACAUUCAGCUAGCUGAAGAACAGAGGGGUCGAUAUAGACUGCAGUGUACAGAAAGCAAAGAGAAAUACUUGUAUUCUUUAUUAAACAAGAAAAUGAAAAGACAAGGCAUAAUCAGUAUGUCUGUGGAAGUUCCAUUAUUCUUGGGAUUUAUGCCCAGCAACACAUACUAAUCAUGCCCAGCAUGUAGGACCUGCUUACUUUGGGACACCUAGGAAAUGCUGUGUUUUUUGGCAUGUGCUCUGAAAGUUCAGCAUGUUCAGGAAAGAAGAUAUUUUAAUUGGUGGAAGAAGGAGAGACAAAUUGCAAGGGAACAAACGGUAUAAUAGUUUAAAUGGAGCAUUACUAUUUCAAGUGCUAUGACUAUGGUGAAGAAGGGGAUUUCACUUAGACAACUGCAGAAGAGAAACAAUACCGCACUGUGGUAUGGAUUAU